This is a long non-coding RNA of Anastrepha obliqua, 607 nucleotides long. RefSeq lists it as uncharacterized. Lineage: Eukaryota; Metazoa; Arthropoda; Insecta; Diptera; Tephritidae. The transcript is spliced from 3 exons. The record is from RefSeq and is a predicted model, not a curated record.
AAGCCAUCGCUGUAUCGGCCCACAUUUUCCCUGCCGCUUGAUCGCUGAUAUUAUUUGUUCUUUAUCAAACAAUCGUUGAUCAAACGUCGAGCUUGUCGCCAACCACUAUCAGCUCACCAAACACACACAGGUACACACACACUUGUAGGUUUUAACGAUCGUACAUUUGGCAUUCGCCUCGAAUUCUAAGCUGCUAGCGAAAAGCUCCGCGAUUAGUUAUUUAUCUACAGAUACUAAAACCUUCUAGCGGCCUUCUAGGUAGUGUACAUGUCAACGUACUCGGCGCAAAUGUUUCGAACAGCAAAUAAACGCAAACGAGGUAGUCCAUUGUGCUUCUUAUACACAGCCAGCCACAGCAUUGCGGAAAUGUUGUGGAACUCUAAGUCUCGUCAGCUUCAACGACUAAUGUAAUAACUUCAACAACAACAACAACAAAACUAAUAAACACGAUUGUCGCCAGCAUAGAAAAAGAAAUAAAAACCAACAACAGCAAUAUGUGGCUACCAACUUAACACAGCCAUAGACAAGUGUUAAAAAAUAUAUUAAAAAAAUUCAAAGGCACACAACCAAAAAAACAAAAAAAGCACUGCAAACAAAGGCUAAAAUA